CAGCCGACACCUGCCAGGUGGGUCCACAGACUCCAGCCUGCCAGACAGGCACAGUCCUGGCCAUCACCCCUUCCGCCUCCCCAGGCACUCCCAUGUGGAGUUCUUGUGCUCUGGGCCCUUCUACAGGGCCCAUACUGGCUCCCUGGCCCACUAGAGUGACCAUGUCCUGUCUGCCUGCCUCCCGCUGUGCCGGGAGCCCUGUGUCCUCACCCUUCACCUCUGCCUCACACUCAGAGGCUCACAGUUGGUGUGUCUCUCCCAGGCAGUGCCUCUUCUCCAGCCCUCCUGCAGCCCCUGGCAGGGGCUGUGGGCCAGCUCUGGAGCCAGCACCAGCGUCCCUCGGCCACCUGUGCCUCCUGGUCGGGCUUCCACUACCGCACCUUUGAUGGCCGCCACUAUCACUUCCUGGGCCGCUGCACCUACCUGCUGGCGGGUGCUGCGGACUCCACCUGGGCUGUCCACCUAACACCCGGGGACCGCUGCCCCCAGCCUGGACACUGUCAGCGGGUCCAGGUGACUAUGGGACCCGAGGAGGUGCUGAUCCAGGCUGGAAAUGUGUCUGUGAAGGGGCAGCUGGUACCUGAAGGGCAGUCUUGGCUGCUCCACGGGCUGAGCCUGCAAUGGCUGGGGGACUGGCUGGUGCUGUCAGGAGGCCUGGGGGUCGUGGUGCGGCUGGACAGGACUGGCUCCAUCUCCAUCUCUGUGGACCACGAGCUCUGGGGACAGACACAAGGCCUCUGUGGGCUCUACAAUGGCUGGCCAGAGGAUGACUUCAUGGAGCCAGGCGGAGGGCUGGCCAUGUUAGCAGCCACCUUUGG
RNAcentral lists this long non-coding RNA (818 nucleotides) under Homo sapiens (human). RNAcentral's name for it is "long non-coding RNA NONHSAT124045.2". Lineage: Eukaryota; Metazoa; Chordata; Mammalia; Primates; Hominidae. The record is from RNAcentral.